GCCAUCACAUCUCAAAAAGCAUAUUCUCAAUCAGAUCAUCGCCAUGCAUGGUUUCAAGAAAAUCACCAAAGGUUCCCAGAGUGUGUUAACCGAUGUUGCGCGGACAUUGAAUCUGAUGGAUCCAUCACGCUCCACUCUGAAAGAGAAAAUCUCGCCAUGCGCAUCUAUCACUCUGAACGAAAUAACGACUGACCUAAACAACCUUGCUUGGGGC
Long non-coding RNA from Pistacia vera, 214 nucleotides. RefSeq lists it as uncharacterized. The record is from RefSeq and is a predicted model, not a curated record. NCBI's taxonomy places the organism in Eukaryota, Viridiplantae, Streptophyta, Magnoliopsida, Sapindales, Anacardiaceae. The transcript is spliced from 3 exons.